UGCCUAUUUGUGGCUAAAGUUUC
RNAcentral lists this non-coding RNA (23 nucleotides) under Arabidopsis thaliana (thale cress). Lineage: Eukaryota; Viridiplantae; Streptophyta; Magnoliopsida; Brassicales; Brassicaceae. The record is from RNAcentral.